RNAcentral lists this unclassified non-coding RNA (329 nucleotides) under soil metagenome. Its description in RNAcentral is "partial contains 5.8S ribosomal RNA, internal transcribed spacer 2, and large subunit ribosomal RNA". The stretch from base 1 to 120 matches the Rfam family "5.8S ribosomal RNA", at positions 35 to 154 of the family's 154-position model. The record is from RNAcentral.
GAUGAAGAACGUAGCGAAAUGCGAUAAGUAGUGUGAAUUGCAGAAUUCAGUGAAUCAUCGAAUCUUUGAACGCACAUUGCGCCCCUUGGUAUUCCAUGGGGCAUGCCUGUUCGAGCGUCAUUUGUACCUUCAAGCUUUGCUUGGUGUUGGGUGUUUGUCCUGAGGGACUCGCCUUAAAGUCAUUGGCAGCCGGCCUACUGGUUUCGGAGCGCAGCACAAGUCGCACUCUUUUCCAGCCAAGGUCAGUGUCCAACAAGCCUUUUUUCAACUUUUGACCUCGGAUCAGGUAGGGAUACCCGCUGAACUUAAGCAUAUCAAUAAGCGGAGGA